This 484-nucleotide ribosomal RNA is filed under the name uncultured bacterium. RNAcentral describes it as "partial 16S ribosomal RNA". It matches the Rfam family "Bacterial small subunit ribosomal RNA", at positions 29 to 507 of the family's 1533-position model. The record is from RNAcentral.
AUUGAACGCUGGCGGCAUGCUUUACACAUGCAAGUCGAACGACAGCGCGGGCUUCGGCCUGGCGGCGAGUGGCGAACGGGUGAGUAAUUCAUCGGAACGUGCCCAGUAGUGGGGGAUAGCCCGGCGACAGCCGGAUUAAUACCGCAUACGACCUGAGGGUGAAAGCGGGGGACCGAAAGGCCUCGCUCUCUUUGAUCGGCCGAUGUCGGAUUAGCUAGUUGGUUGGGUAAAGGCUUACCAAGGCGACGAUCCGUAGCUGGUCUGAGAGGACGACCAGCCACACUGGGACUGAGACACGGCCCAGACUCCUACGGGAGGCAGCAGUGGGGAAUUUUGGACAAUGGGGGCAACCCUGAUCCAGCCAUGCCGCGUGCGGGAAGAAGGCCUUCGGGUUGUAAACCGCUUUUGUUAGGGAAGAAAUCCUCUGGGCUAAUACCCCGGGGGGAUGACGGUACCGGAAGAAUAAGCACCGGCUAACUACGUG